This 435-nucleotide long non-coding RNA is filed under the name Pavo cristatus (Indian peafowl). Its description in RNAcentral is "lncRNA (ENSPSTG00000013529.1)". The record is from RNAcentral. Lineage: Eukaryota; Metazoa; Chordata; Aves; Galliformes; Phasianidae.
UCCCAUGCUUUCCUGUUCUGCUGGAAAAUGUCAGCUUUCUGGGGGCAAGUGGGUGUCUGGAGGGCUGUCCUGCACCUGGGGCCUGUCAGUCCUUCCAGCCUGAUGUCAGGGCUGGGAUGGGAGCCUGACGUCUGGGCCCCAUGUCCAGAAGCUGAAGAGUUUGGGUCUCAUCAUCCAAAAGGCAUCUCCAGGGCAGCGAUUCAAUUUUGCUCCUUUCCCUCCUGUGCACCAAAAGCAUCUCCCAGGCGGUCCUGCAGCGCUCCCUUUGCCUCUUCUGAGAUGCCUCCUGAGAAAGCAAGAUGCAACGGUUGGUCUUUGGGAAGUGCAUCUAUGGCUUGGAGAAGAAUUGUGCUGCACCACCGCAUCUCCAACCCGCAUCCCAGAGAUAACGGGGAGCAUGGAGCUGGUGGUGGCCCCUUCAGGCGCCUGGAGUAA